Molecule: ribosomal RNA, 593 nt
Filed under: uncultured marine eukaryote
Lineage: Eukaryota
Description: SSU rRNA
Rfam family: Eukaryotic small subunit ribosomal RNA
Source: RNAcentral
UACCUGGUUGAUCCUGCCAGUAGUCAUAUGCUUGUCUUAAGGAUUAAGCCAUGCAAGUCUAAGUAUAAGUAAACUUCACAGCGAAACUGCGAAUGGCUCAUUAAAACAGUUAUAGUUUAUUUGAUAAUUAUUAGAUGGAUAACUUUAGGAAAUCUAGAGCUAAUACAUGCCUUAAAGCCGGAUGAUUUUUUCUGAAGGCCGUAUUUAUUAGAUAUAAACCAAUCGUGUUCUUACACGUUUUGAUGAUUCAUAAUAACUUCUCUGACCGAUCCCUCUGGGUGAGGUAGAUCAUUCAAGUUUCUGCCCUAUCAGCUUUAGAUGGUAGUGUAUUGGACUACCAUGGCGAUCACGGGUAACGGAGAAUUAGGGUUCGAUUCCGGAGAGGGAGCCUGAGAAACGGCUACCACAUCUACGGAAGGCAGCAGGCGCGUAAAUUACCCAAUCCUGACUAAGGGAGGUAGUGACAAGAAAUAUCGAAUCGGGUGCCUUUGUGCAUUGCGAGUUUGAAAUGAGAACAAUCUAAAAAACUUAUCGAGGAGCAAUUGGAGGGCAAGUCUGGUGCCAGCAGCCGCGGUAAUUCCAGCUCCGAUAGC